CUGAAUCCUGGCUAUGUUUGUAUACUUUUUAUUUAAAAUUGUAUACAGUGUAUUAUUUUUCAUUCUUCCACUGGGUAAGUAUAUUAGUACUUGGGCAAUACUGUGCUUCAACACUUUGCCAGUUCGGAACCUCAGCACUUCGAAAAUUUGGUAAUUUCGGGACUUCGGCUAUUCGGACAUUCGGAAGUAACCGAAUGUACGAAUUGCCCGAACUUCGUCCGAAUUCAUAUUCAGACCGAAACGAAUUGCAUAUGUCUAGUAAAGAUCUGUGGAACAGAUCCAUAAAUCUUAAAUCUAGUUUAUGCAGCUAAAUCCCACACAAUAUUUUCACAAAACCAUUUCUUGAUUUAAAAAUAUACAGUGUUACUUUGCAAUUAAGCCAAUGAGAGAUAAUUAUGGCCUAGCUACUGGCUUGACUGCCUUACAGCCACUGCUCUCUUUUCUACAUAGUUUUUCAAAGCCAUAAACUAAUGGGCAGAAAUAUAUUGUUUGGCAAGUCAUGUUAACAUAUUAGCUCACACUGACCUCUCAGCUGUAUUUAUACAUUGAAGUUAAGGCCAAGACAUUUUAUUAAAAGGGGAGGCAUGGCUAAUAAGAUGGCUUGUAAAAUCGUCUUUUUUUUUAUAUAUCUUAUUCUAAUCUCUGUUGUAAUUUACC
Non-coding RNA from Pelobates cultripes (western spadefoot toad), 657 nucleotides. NCBI's taxonomy places the organism in Eukaryota, Metazoa, Chordata, Amphibia, Anura, Pelobatidae. The record is from the annotation of a GenBank genome assembly.